UACGUAGGAUGCAAGCGUUGUCCGGAAUUAUUGGGCGUAAAGAGCGCGCAGGCGGUGUGACAAGUCAGAUGUGAAAGAGGCCGGCUUAACCGGCAAGGGUCAUUUGAAACUGUCAGACUAGAGUGCAGCAGAGGAUAGUGGAAUUCCCGGUGUAGUGGUGAAAUGCGUAGAUAUCGGGAGGAACACCAGUGGCGAAGGCGACUAUCUGGGCUGCAACUGACGCUGAGGCGCGAAGGCUAGGGUAGCAAACAGG
RNAcentral lists this ribosomal RNA (253 nucleotides) under uncultured bacterium. RNAcentral's name for it is "partial 16S ribosomal RNA". It matches the Rfam family "Bacterial small subunit ribosomal RNA", at positions 524 to 776 of the family's 1533-position model. The record is from RNAcentral.